GAUGAACGCUGGCGGCGUGCCUAAUACAUGUAAGUCGAGCGAACGGACGAGAAGCUUGCUUCUCUGAUGUUAGCGGCGGACGGGUGAGUAACACGUGGAUAACCUACCUAUAAGACUGGGAUAACUUCGGGAAACCGUAGCUAAUACCGGAUAAUAUUUUGAACCGCAUGGUUCAAAAGUGAAAGACGGUCUUGCUGUCACUUAUAGAUGGAUCCGCGCUGCAUUAGCUAGUUGGUAAGGUAACGGCUUACCAAGGCAACGAUGCAUAGCCGACCUGAGAGGGUGAUCGGCCACACUGGAACUGAGACACGGUCCAGACUCCUACGGGAGGCAGCAGUAGGGAAUCUUCCGCAAUGGGCGAAAGCCUGACGGAGCAACGCCGCGUGAGUGAUGAAGGUCUUCGGAUCGUAAAACUCUGUUAUUAGGGAAGAACAUAUGUGUAAGUAACUGUGCACAUCUUGACGGUACCUAAUCAGAAAGACACGGCUAACUACGUG
This 497-nucleotide ribosomal RNA is filed under the name uncultured bacterium. RNAcentral's name for it is "partial 16S ribosomal RNA". It matches the Rfam family "Bacterial small subunit ribosomal RNA", at positions 28 to 507 of the family's 1533-position model. The record is from RNAcentral.